GUCCACCUUGGGCGUGAUGGGGACCCCGCUCAGCCACUCCGGGGCGAGGUACCCUGCUGUCCCUCGGAACGUGGUCAGGACCCGGCUGAAGUCUCGGCCGACGAACGCCGCCAUCCCGAAGUCCGCGAUCUUGGGCGCGAAGGACGCGUCGAGGAGGAUGUUCUCCGGUUUGAUGUCGCAGUGGAUGAUGCACUCGCGGCAGCUCUGGUGCAGGUAGCACAAUCCUCUUGCGACCCCGACGGCGAUCCUGUACCUCUUGCUCCAAUCCAGCGCAGUGGCGACGACGGCGGCACUGCUCUGCUGGAACAGAUGCGCGUCGAGGGACCCGUUCACCACGUGCUCGUACACAAGCAGCCUCUUGUCGCCUUCGCAGCAGAAGCCGAUCAGUCUGACCAGGUUGAUGUGCUGGAUCAUCCCGACCGAGCUCACCUCAGCCCGGAACUGCUUCUCGCCUUGCCGGGCAUCGUCGAG
This 471-nucleotide unclassified non-coding RNA is filed under the name Zea mays. RNAcentral describes it as "misc RNA Zm00001eb266170". The record is from RNAcentral. Lineage: Eukaryota; Viridiplantae; Streptophyta; Magnoliopsida; Poales; Poaceae.